AAAGUUUGAUCAUGGCUCAGGAUGAACGCUAGCGACAGGCUUAACACAUGCAAGUCGAGGGGCAGCGGGGAGUAGCAAUACUUCGCCGGCGACUGGCGCACGGGUGAGUAACACGUGUGCAACCAACCCCGUACCGGGAGAUAACCCGCGGAAACGUGGACUAACAUCCCAUAAGACUCUAGAGCCGCAUGGCUUUGGAUUUAAAAUUCCGGUGGUACGGGACGGGCACGCGCGACAUUAGGUAGUUGGCGGGGUAACGGCCCACCAAGCCG
RNAcentral lists this ribosomal RNA (272 nucleotides) under uncultured bacterium. RNAcentral's name for it is "partial 16S ribosomal RNA". It matches the Rfam family "Bacterial small subunit ribosomal RNA", at positions 8 to 275 of the family's 1533-position model. The record is from RNAcentral.